This 150-nucleotide microRNA precursor is filed under the name Sarcophilus harrisii (Tasmanian devil). Its description in RNAcentral is "microRNA sha-mir-454 precursor". Its record names the gene sha-mir-454. The stretch from base 39 to 140 matches the Rfam family "mir-454 microRNA precursor family". RNAcentral also lists the same sequence under 1 other name. The record is from miRBase by way of RNAcentral. Lineage: Eukaryota; Metazoa; Chordata; Mammalia; Dasyuromorphia; Dasyuridae.
UUGAGUUUCCUACUGUGUAAUUUAAAAAUACAUUUCCUGUUGAUACUACCAGAUCCUAGAACCCUAUCGAUAUUGUCUCUGCUGUGUACAUAGCUGUGAGUAGUGCAAUAUUGCUUAUAGGGUUUUAGUGUUUGGAAAGAACAGUGGCCA